RNAcentral lists this ribosomal RNA (850 nucleotides) under uncultured bacterium. RNAcentral's name for it is "bacterial SSU rRNA". It matches the Rfam family "Bacterial small subunit ribosomal RNA", at positions 8 to 835 of the family's 1533-position model. The record is from RNAcentral.
AGAGUUUGAUCCUGGCUCAGGACGAACGCUGGCGGCGUGCCUAAUACAUGCAAGUCGAACGAACCGCGACUGAGUGCUUGCACUUGGUCAAGGUGAGUGGCGAACGGGUGAGUAACACGUGGGUAACCUACCUCAUAGUGGGGGAUAACAGUCGGAAACGACUGCUAAUACCGCAUAGGACAUAGAAUCACAUGAUUCUGUGAGGAAAGGUGGCGCAAGCUAUCGCUAAGAGAUGGACCCGCGGUGCAUUAGCUAGUUGGUAGGGUAACGGCCUACCAAGGCAAUGAUGCAUAGCCGACCUGAGAGGGUGAUCGGCCACAUUGGGACUGAGACACGGCCCAAACUCCUACGGGAGGCAGCAGUAGGGAAUCUUCCGCAAUGGACGCAAGUCUGACGGAGCAACGCCGCGUGAGUGAAGAAGGUCUUCGGAUCGUAAAGCUCUGUUGUUGGAGAAGAACAGCGCAUAGAGUAACUGUUAUGCGUGUGACGGUAUCUAACCAGAAAGCCACGGCUAACUACGUGCCAGCAGCCGCGGUAAUACGUAGGUGGCGAGCGUUGUCCGGAUUUAUUGGGCGUAAAGGGAGUGUAGGCGGUCUUUUAAGUCUGAUGUGAAAGCCCACGGCUCAACCGUGGAGGGUCAUUGGAAACUGGGAGACUUGAGUGCAGAAGAGGAGAGCGGAAUUCCAUGUGUAGCGGUGAAAUGCGUAGAUAUAUGGAGGAACACCAGUGGCGAAGGCGGCUCUCUGGUCUGUAACUGACGCUGAGGCUCGAAAGCGUGGGGAGCAAACAGGAUUAGAUACCCUGGUAGUCCACGCCGUAAACGAUGAGUGCUAAGUGUUGGAGGGGUUCC